Molecule: transfer RNA, 85 nt
Rfam family: tRNA
About the family: Transfer RNA (tRNA) molecules are approximately 80 nucleotides in length. Their secondary structure includes four short double-helical elements and three loops (D, anti-codon, and T loops). Further hydrogen bonds mediate the characteristic L-shaped molecular structure. tRNAs have two regions of fundamental functional importance: the anti-codon, which is responsible for specific mRNA codon recognition, and the 3' end, to which the tRNAs corresponding amino acid is attached (by aminoacyl-tRNA synthetases). tRNAs cope with the degeneracy of the genetic code in two manners: having more than one tRNA (with a specific anti-codon) for a particular amino acid; and 'wobble' base-pairing, i.e. permitting non-standard base-pairing at the 3rd anti-codon position.
Source: Rfam
GCCCUUAUAGCUCAGUGGUAGAGCGCAUCACUCGUAUGCAUCAAGCGGUAUGAUGAGGUCGGCGGUUCAAUCCCGCCUGGGGGCA